UACGUAGGGCGCAAGCGUUGUCCGGAAUUAUUGGGCGUAAAGAGCUCGUAGGUGGUUUGUUACGUCUGCUGUGAAAACCUAGGGCUUAACCCUGGGCCUGCAGUGGAUACGGGCAGACUAGAGGUAGGUAGGGGAGAAUGGAAUUCCCGGUGUAGCGGUGAAAUGCGCAGAUAUCGGGAAGAACACCCGUGGCGAAGGCGGCACUCUGGGACGGUACUGACGCUGAGACGCGAAAGCGUGGGGAGCGAACAGG
Molecule: ribosomal RNA, 253 nt
Filed under: uncultured bacterium
Lineage: Bacteria
Description: partial 16S ribosomal RNA
Rfam family: Bacterial small subunit ribosomal RNA
Source: RNAcentral